Molecule: long non-coding RNA, 2821 nt
Organism: Nomia melanderi (Alkali bee)
Lineage: Eukaryota; Metazoa; Arthropoda; Insecta; Hymenoptera; Halictidae
Source: RefSeq, a predicted model, not a curated record
UUUAUUGAUUAUAACAUCGCAACAUCGAAAAGUAUUUUCGUUAAAAUGGUUAUAGUAAUUUACCGUUUUGUUUACUACGAAGGUUAUUUCUAUAAAAAUUAAAUAGUGCUCCGCAGCCGUAAGAUUUUAUAAACGUUUUACCCAAUAAUUAAGAUUAGUUUUAUAUUUGUAUUUGUUAAAGCUAGUUUGAUGUGUUGCCCUUUUUAUACCGGUAAUUUUCUUUAACACGUGAGAAAUUAUUUGGAAUAUAUAUUGAAUUGCCAAGAUGAGCUGUUUUGCAGUAUAUCAAAUUAUGGAAUCAAUGUGUACUUUUUUGAACGUGAUGCAGUGGGGUGUUUUUCUGGCCCAGUCCCAAGUGCAUCGUGCAGCCUUGGUCCCGCCUAACUGGCAUCUACUUUCGCCGGCUGACGAAAACCAGGCGUGCGCUUUCUCGAACUUGAGCUGUAGCCUUUAAGCAACCCAAGAUUUAUGAUAUCCACUGGCGCUAUUAAAGAUUGCUGUGCUAGACUACGUGGACAAGUCUGGCCGCCAAAUGGCUAAAAAAUCCUAAGAACACUUUCUCAAAAACAGCGUCUUACAUUGUGCGUACCAUAAAUCUCACUAACUCUUGCAUGCCGAAAGUUCUUCUCCUGGCGCUUUGUUAGCCGCUACAAGGAAUGCUUCUACGUUUUUGGACCGACGUGACAGCAUGAGAUUCUAAACUAGUCUUGACCGAUGUCACCUUACAAAUGUCUAACUGACUCUGAAAUGGUGUGAGUAAAAAUUAACAGGUUUAUAUACAGUGACUCGCAACCAAAAUUGUACAUCAUGCAAAACAAUAUGUUUCAUGUUGUAAAAAACUUUGGGGUUAACUUGGAAAGAAAGUGCAACGAAUACAUAUUGUCAAUGUAUCUAUAUUUAUUAUGUAGCAAUAACAAACGAAACUAACCUUUGUAAGUACAAAAAAAAUAAAGUUACUACAUUUGGUCUAUACAGUGUCUCACAGCUAAAAUCGUACACGUAUAAAAAAUAUUAAUAAGUUAAAACUAAUCUUACUUUGAAUUUAAAAUUAAUAUUUUGUAGGGUAGUCUGGACUACAUUCUACGGCUCUUAAUUUGUUUGGCAACAAUCUCACAACUUUUUCAGUAACAUCAGAUUCAAUAUUAUUCUAUUCUUCUAUUAAUGUUUUUAUUUGAAAUUGUGUGUUUUCGUAUUCUUACUUCUAACUCGUUCCAAAUAUUUUCUAUAAACUUUAAAGAUUUCCAAAAUGCCUAGUUUUUCAGCACUGUUUUUUUUAAAUUCUUUUUUUUUAAGGUAUGUAAACAAUCAUACUCAUUCAUAUUUUCGUUGAUAAAUUCCAAAUUACCAACAUCAGCAGCUGAUACACAAUCCCUGACCAUUAACAGUGGGAUAUAAAUUUUGUAUUUUAAAUUCCUGAUUUGGUUUGCGCCAUGCAUUAACUGUACCAUCGGAUUGAAAAAAAUUAAAUUUACUUUCGUCAGUAAAUAUUACUCCCUUCCAUAAAUUAAAUUAAAAUCUUUAUUUAAAAAUUGUUCUGCAAACUCCAGCCCCUUUUGCUUAUUUUUUGAUUAAUAAACGGUUUGUUCCGAGCUAUUCUACCGUGAAAAGUAUUCUUCCGCAAAACUCUCCUAAUUUUUUCUAGAUUAAUAUGUGUUUCCAAAUAUUUGUCCAUCUCAUUUGUUAUUUGAGGUGCAGAAAGUACGUUGACCGCAUGUACGAAAGAACAGUAUAACGUCGUACAAUAUACUGAAUGGUACUUGCACUUUUUCCAGUUAUUUUAGAAAUUUCUCGGUAGUUUUUGCCACUAUCAAAACACUUUAAAACGAUCUGCUGCAUUUUUACCGAUGUUUGCUUCAUUUUUACUAUUUUUUUUGCUGUAUUUUCUGAGUAUAACAAUAUGCGACUUUACUGAAAGGCCGUAACAAUUUAGCAUUCUUUUGUUUAAAAUUAUUCAUUUGUUUUCGGGGAUUCCUUGGUAGGAGUACCAACAAAAUGUAUACUGUACGAUUUUAACUGUGAGGUAUUUUAUAGACUAAAUAUUUAGUAAUAUAUAGUAACUUUAUUUUUUUAUAUAUUUACGAAGGUUAAUAUCGUUUCAUAUUACUACACAAUAAAUGUGGAUAUAUUAACAAUAUAUAUUCAUUAUAUUUUCUUCUCCAAGUUAACUCUAAAUUUUUUUUCAAUAUGAAACAUUUUUUUGUGUGGUGUAAGGUUUUGAUUGUGAGUCACUGUACCUCAAAAAAGAGGUAGAGCCGGCUGUAUGGAGUAUUGGUACGGUUAUGUUGAGUAACAUUCCAGAUGCUCUAGUUUCCAGUGAAACCAAACAAUAGCUCGGGUUAUUUAGAUGAAGGGUUACGAGAGGUUAUUUAGGGCGAUCCCUGCCAGAGAUUGAAGGACAUUGCAUGAAAAAAUAUUUUUCGUAGGUAACAGGACACUAAUGGUAUUAGAUCUUAUUUUUUUUCUUAUUUCUGCCUACCGUAACUCUGUCGAAUUUAAAUUGUGCCUGUUCAGCGUUAUUCUUAAAACGUUAAUUUUACCUGGUUUUAAAUUUUCAUUUAUUUUAUUUUUUCUAUUAUUUGAAAUAGUUGGUAUUUUCUCAUCCUAUUAUUAUAUGUAACAUUAUUUUUUAUUAGUUAAUAAGUUAUAGCAGCUUUUUUGGCAUGUGUAGUAGGUAUUUUAUCUAUCUGCACCGAGUGAUAUGGUGUAUUAUCCAUCACUAUAAAGUUUUCGGGAUGUUUGCUAUAAAUUUUUCUUGUAAAACAACACGUUUGGGCGUAAAAUAAUAAUGUGAUAAAACUCUAUUUGAACAGUACUGUCUUUA